AGUGAACGCUGGCGGUAGGCCUAACACAUGCAAGUCGAACGGCAGCACAGUAAGAGCUUGCUCUUACGGGUGGCGAGUGGCGGACGGGUGAGGAAUACAUCGGAAUCUACUUUUUCGUGGGGGAUAACGUAGGGAAACUUACGCUAAUACCGCAUACGACCUACGGGUGAAAGCAGGGGAUCUUCGGACCUUGCGCGAUUGAAUGAGCCGAUGUCGGAUUAGCUAGUUGGCGGGGUAAAGGCCCACCAAGGCGACGAUCCGUAGCUGGUCUGAGAGGAUGAUCAGCCACACUGGAACUGAGACACGGCCCAGACUCCUACGGGAGGCAGCAGUGGGGAUUAUUGGACAAUGGGGGCAAGCCUGAUCAAGCCAUACCGCGUGGGUGAAGAAGGCCUUCGGGUUGUAAAGCCCUUUUGUUGGGAAAGAAAAGCAGCAGGUUAAUACCCCGCUGUUCUGACGGAACCAAAAGAAUAAGCACCGGCUAACUUCGU
RNAcentral lists this ribosomal RNA (491 nucleotides) under uncultured bacterium. RNAcentral's name for it is "partial 16S ribosomal RNA". It matches the Rfam family "Bacterial small subunit ribosomal RNA", at positions 29 to 506 of the family's 1533-position model. The record is from RNAcentral.